UGGGGAAUAUUGCACAAUGGGCGCAAGCCUGAUGCAGCCAUGCCGCGUGUGUGAAGAAGGCCUUCGGGUUGUAAAGCACUUUCAGCGGGGAGGAAGGCGGUGAGGUUAAUAACCUCACCGAUUGACGUUACCCGCAGAAGAAGCACCGGCUAACUCCGUGCCAGCAGCCGCGGUAAUACGGAGGGUGCAAGCGUUAAUCGGAAUUACUGGGCGUAAAGCGCACGCAGGCGGUCUGUCAAGUCGGAUGUGAAAUACCCGGGCGCAACCUGGGAACUGCAUUCGAAACAGGCAGGCUAGAGUCUUGUAGAGGGGGGUAGAAUUCCAGGUGUAGCGGUGAAAUGCGUAGAGAUCUGGGGGAAUACCGGUGGCGAAGGCGGCCCCCUGGACAAAGACUGACGCUCAGGUGCGAAAGCGUGGGGAGCAAACAGG
This 429-nucleotide ribosomal RNA is filed under the name Chloroflexota bacterium. RNAcentral describes it as "Chloroflexi bacterium partial 16S ribosomal RNA". It matches the Rfam family "Bacterial small subunit ribosomal RNA", at positions 355 to 776 of the family's 1533-position model. Lineage: Bacteria; Bacillati; Chloroflexota. The record is from RNAcentral.